AUUGAACGCUGGCGGCAGGCCUAACACAUGCAAGUCGAGCGGUAGAGAGGUGCUUGCAUCUCUUGAGAGCGGCGGACGGGUGAGUAAUGCCUAGGAAUCUGCCUGGUAGUGGGGGGAUAACGUUCGGAAACGGACGCUAAUACCGCAUACGUCCUACGGGAGAAAGCAGGGGACCUUCGGGCCUUGCGCUAUCAGAUGAGCCUAGGUCGGAUUAGCUAGUUGGUGAGGUAAUGGCUCACCAAGGCGACGAUCCGUAACUGGUCUGAGAGGAUGAUCAGUCACACUGGAACUGAGACACGGCCCAGACUCCUACGGGAGGCAGCAGUGGGGAAUAUUGGACAAUGGCGAAAGCCUGAUCCAGCCAUGCCGCGUGUGUGAAGAAGGUCUUCGGAUUGUAAGCACUUUAAGUUGGGAGGAAGGGUAGUAACCUAAUACGUUGCUACUUUGACGUUACCGACGAGAAUAAGCACCGGCUAA
This 477-nucleotide ribosomal RNA is filed under the name uncultured bacterium. RNAcentral describes it as "bacterial SSU rRNA". It matches the Rfam family "Bacterial small subunit ribosomal RNA", at positions 30 to 500 of the family's 1533-position model. The record is from RNAcentral.